AAGUCGUAACAAGGGUUUCCGUAGGUCAAGUUUAGCCUGCCACAGCGGGUCAACCUCGCUAGUCUCCGCUGGAGGCGACACGCUCAACCUGUGGGGAAGGCCCCGUCCCGGGAAAAUCCACAGCCCCACUUCCCCUCGCCCCGGAAGUGGGUUUAGAGGCUCAAUGAGCGUGGGUGCUGAUCUCAGCGCUUGAGAUAGAGUCCGUCCCAGCUGGUAACCGCUGGGGGGCGAACGGAACCUGCGGAAGGAUCAUUACAGAAUUUGACGGCUUUUGCGAAGCCGAUUUCUACCCCCGUGUAUACACUAUCGUCUGUUGCUUUGGCGGGGCGCCUGGCGCCUUGCCCAGAGGGAAAACCCCUUGAAUCUCUGCAGUCUGAGCACGUAAAGUAGUCAAAA
Molecule: unclassified non-coding RNA, 396 nt
Filed under: plant metagenome
Description: partial contains small subunit ribosomal RNA and internal transcribed spacer 1
Source: RNAcentral